GAUCAUGGCUCAGGAUGAACGCUAGCGAUAGGCUUAACACAUGCAAGUCGAGGGGCAGCAUGGUCUUAGCUUGCUAAGACUGAUGGCGACCGGCGCACGGGUGCGUAACGCGUAUGCAACUUGCCUCACAGAGGGGGAUAACCCGUCGAAAGACGGACUAAUACCGCGUACACUCUAUGUUGGGCAUCCAAUGUAGAGGAAAUGAAAUUCGCUGUGAGAUAGGCA
This 225-nucleotide ribosomal RNA is filed under the name uncultured bacterium. RNAcentral describes it as "partial 16S ribosomal RNA". It matches the Rfam family "Bacterial small subunit ribosomal RNA", at positions 15 to 231 of the family's 1533-position model. The record is from RNAcentral.